Molecule: ribosomal RNA, 253 nt
Filed under: uncultured bacterium
Lineage: Bacteria
Description: partial 16S ribosomal RNA
Rfam family: Bacterial small subunit ribosomal RNA
Source: RNAcentral
UACGAAGGGGGCUAGCGUUGCUCGGAGUCACUGGGCGUAAAGGGUGCGUAGGCGGGUCUUUAAGUCAGGGGGGAAAUCCUGGAGCUCAACUCCAGAACUGCCUUUGAUACUGAAGAUCUUGAGUUCGGGAGAGGUGAGUGGAACUGCGAGUGUAGAGGUGAAAUUCGUAGAUAUUCGCAAGAACACCAGUGGCGAAGGCGGCUCACUGGCCCGAUACUGACGCUGAGGCACGAAAGCGUGGGGAGCAAACAGG